GAUGAACGCUGGCGGCGUGCUUAACACAUGCAAGUCGAACGGGAAUUACUUUAUUGAAACUUCGGUCGAUUUAAUUUAAUUCUAGUGGCGGACGGGUGAGUAACGCGUGGGUAACCUGCCUUGUACAGGGGGAUAACAGUCAGAAAUGACUGCUAAUACCGCAUAAGCGCACAGGACCGCAUGGUCCGGUGUGAAAAACUCCGGUGGUAUAAGAUGGACCCGCGUUGGAUUAGCUUGUUGGUGGGGUAACGGCCCACCAAGGCGACGAUCCAUAGCCGGCCUGAGAGGGUGAACGGCCACAUUGGGACUGAGACACGGCCCAGACUCCUACGGGAGGCAGCAGUGGGGAAUAUUGCACAGUGGGGGAAACCCUGAUGCAGCGACGCCGCGUGAAGGAAGAAGUAUCUCGGUAUGUAAACUUCUAUCAGCAGGGAAGAAAAUGACGGUACCUGACUAAGAAGCCCCGGCUAACUACGUGCCAGCAGCCGCGGUAAUACGUAGGGGGCAAGCGUUAUCCGGAUUUACUGGGUGUAAAGGGAGCGUAGACGGAUGGACAAGUCUGAUGUGAAAGGCUGGGGCUCAACCCCGGGACUGCAUUGGAAACUGCCCGUCUUGAGUGCCGGAGAGGUAAGCGGAAUUCCUAGUGUAGCGGUGAAAUGCGUAGAUAUUAGGAGGAACACCAGUGGCGAAGGCGGCUUACUGGACGGUAACUGACGUUGAGGCUC
Molecule: ribosomal RNA, 725 nt
Filed under: uncultured Lachnospiraceae bacterium
Lineage: Bacteria; Bacillati; Bacillota; Clostridia; Lachnospirales; Lachnospiraceae
Description: bacterial SSU rRNA
Rfam family: Bacterial small subunit ribosomal RNA
Source: RNAcentral